AUUCACUCUGGGAUCCAGGCCAGGCUUUCUCAGCUCUGUCCCAUCUCUCCUUAAAUUUGUAGGGCAGAACAGUCGUCUUUAUCCGAUAUCAUCAUCAAUAAUCCUCUUCUAUGGAUUAGAGUAAACUACAUCUGUGGGAGGAGGGGAGUCAAGAAACUGGUGAUGUCAGCAAACACUCCUAGAGAAUGAAGAAUAUUCAUGAAGCAGUCUGAUCUUCAAAGAAGAAAGGUGCUGCAUAGAAUUCCACUCAGGCA
This is a non-coding RNA of Phascolarctos cinereus (koala), 254 nucleotides long. Lineage: Eukaryota; Metazoa; Chordata; Mammalia; Diprotodontia; Phascolarctidae. The record is from RefSeq and is a predicted model, not a curated record.